GGGCGGGCGGGAAGGGGGGAGUGGGUGUACUCUGAUAAUUGUGGCUGGAGGAUUUAACACUCCCCCUCCCCCUAUACACACAAAGCCCUCCAAAAAGAAGAAGGGGGGGGGGGGGACCCAAACCCAACACUUCACCCUUUGGAAAUUUGUGCUCAGUCUAAACAAUAGGAAGCCCAUAAUGCAGAUUAUAACACUCACUGACUCGAAUCCAUUAUCUGCCCUCCACACUGUCUAUAUAUUGAUUUCCAUAUACUUUCUAUUGCUCUCAAUGACUGAGCAAAGCUCCAGUUAAGAGCCCGCGACACACAGGAGCGCUGCUUGAACUACAUCUCACCAAUACAACCCGGAGCCGGUUGUAAACACGAAAUGCUCCCGCUUUCCCGGUGUAGCUGUGAACAAGCACACUGCCACCCCUCCACCCCCGCGAGGAAGCUGGCGGCCGGGCAGAGCCGGUGCGCUGCCCCGGGGCCCCCUCCCGCCGCGGGGAGCGUGCGGAUCCCCCCCGGAGCCACGGCUAGGUGCGCACGCCCGCGCCCACGGGAGAAAUCCCGGGGCGCCCCGUCCCGAGAGCGCCGGGGCUGCAUGCGGGGAAGGGGGUCUGGGUCCCCUCGGGGCACAGAGCCGGCAUCGCCGGGCGGGCAGAGCUGGGGAGCUCAGCUCCCCGCCCGUGGCCCUCCGCCAGCAGCCCCUCUCCCCGAGACCUCAGCUCUUAAUGAGGGUUGACGGUGGUUUCUUUAACUUUGAGACCCAACAGAGCAGAACUUUCCCAAGGCAGGAUGCUCCGGACGGGCGGGAGGGAAGAGGCGCGGAUGGGGUCCGAAGAUGUCUUGCCGGGCAGUCUCAGCCUGAAGAGGACGCCUUGAGAGGAGGGAUCCUAGAUGCUCAUCUCGGAAGCACAGCAAACAGCCAUUUAUUAAGAUUUCAUGCCAAGCAGCGACAUCCUCCUCGACUGCUUAGCGUUGACAUAAACUUCCAGACGUCGAGCAUAUGCUGUUGCACAGCAUUGUUUACGUGUGGUACCAGAUGUUGCUUUGCAUCCUAUUGUCUGGAGACAAUGUUUAGUUCAGGUUAAAAUAUCUUUACUUAAACUGCUCAGUUGGCCAUUGUGUGAGCAUUAGUGAAGUGUCAUGGAGAGGUAAUGGGAAGUCCGGGGAGGUUAGCUCUCCGAGCAUGGCCAGAAGGUCCCUGGUUCAUGGUGGGGUUACAGCCACCACUGUCAUCUUUUGUUUUCCCUCCUCAGAGAACCCUUGUCCUUCCUCUAAAAGGAUGUGCCCCGCUCUCAUUCCCUUCGGAGUUUUCUCCACCGUUUCAUGAAACGGCCCGAUGUUUGUUUUUCUAGUUCCCCUAAAUCGCCCGAAAGAGGAAAGGAAAGCACGGUCCUGCGUCACCGCCACCCCAGGCCGGGCCGGUCCGGGCGGAGCGGGGCGGCCCCACGCCCCCGCCCGGGGAUGCUGGCGCCGGGGGGAAAUCGGUCCCGGGAGCAGAGUUCACGCUCGAGCCAAGCCGGCGGCUCCCUCCCCCCAAAAUGCCCGGCCGAGCCUCCUUCCCUCCUUCCCUCCCUCCGUCCGUGGCCGGGCGAGCGAAGGGGCGGCAGGGCGAGCGGGCCGGGGCAGCCCCCUCCCGCCUGGAGCCUUUUCUUCCCUUUAACCCCGCAGUUUGGGCCGGCCGCGGCAGCUGACCUGUGGCGAGACUUUUGCUCCGGGAGAGAGGGGAAAAAAACUAUAGACUUUAAUCGGAUUUCUCCCCAAACACUUCUGAGUGAAGAGUAGUACAAAGAAAAUUCACCGUAUAAACAUCCUGCCCAAGAAAGGAAGGUUCGCCCAUACUCCAUCUACAGGAUUUGAGUGACCCUGAACCUUCCAGGCCCUGGAAGAUUUUCUGUCCUCAGGGAAUGUGAGGAAGUGUGGAGACAAAGGGAGAGACUUGAAGUAUUUCUCCAGGAAGAGAAGAUGUAAAUAUUCUUGUAUAUUGGCUGACGGUUUUUAAAGAUUUUGCUAAAUGGUAUGGUUUUAUUACUUCUAAUAGUGGAAAAACAAGUUGUCCUAGGAUCACAGUUGUUAUACAUUUCCUCAGAUUAUCUUAGUUGGAAACCUCAUUUGAGAUAAGACAUUCUUCUUUUCAGCGGUAUAGCUCCUGUUAAGUUAUUAUAGAAUUAAGGGUAUGAUGAUUUUAUUGUUAACAAACAGUAAAAUAUAAUCCAACAUUUUCACCACAUUCAAAAAUGCCGUAGAACUGCUGAUGCAAGUGUGUUAUUCUUGCUUCUAGAUAAAGAACAUCAAAAAAGGUUGUUUAAUAUGAAAAUUCACGUCUCCCAAUUAUAUGUAUUUUCAACAUCUACAGUGUAUUCAGAGUAUUUUGUGUAGCUUCUCUGCUCUGAAAAAUCCAUGGACAAAUUUUCACAGAGGUAAUUAGAUAUAGAUGAUAUAGAUAUAGAUAUAUCUAUUUUUCUUUUAGGUGAAAGUGGCAGCUGAACAAAGCCUGUUCUUUCAACAAAGCAGAAAAGCAGCAGUAUAGGGCCAGAGCUGGAAGCCCUUCUGCUGUAAAUCCACACCAAUCCAACUAAGACCAAGCACUUGUGAAUAUUAAAUUCACACUAGUGUAGCUGAGAGUAGAAAUGGCCUUUGUUUUUGAAACCCUUGGAGUCCGAAGUGAAAAAAAAAACGAGCAGGGUUUAACCUUUAAACCUUUCACUGACCUUUAAGCAGUACUUUGGAUUAUAUCUGCCCUUGUUAAUCUGAAGCCACUUGCAAACAUAACUGGCAUUCCUGUUUUUAAGUAUACUUUAUGUACAUUAUAGACUGCGUCAGCAAUUGAAAAGUUUGGCUCCUGUUCAUUGUGUCUUUAUCAUCUUUUAAAGUGAUGCUUAUCUUAGUAAACAAAAUUUCAUAGUAAGCAGCAACAUGAGAAGUGCUUUGUGUUGAAGUGCAUCAUGUAAGUGAUGGCCAGGCAUAGAUCUGUACUCUUGGAGGUGCAAACCCAUGUGUUGAUCAAGACAUUAAAUUUUGUAGAAUUCCUGUAUUAAUGUAGAACUCAACAAGGACCAGCUUUUUUAGCACCUAUUUCUAUCACAGGUGAGUAGAAACUUCUGCAACAUCUGGCCAGACCUUUAUUUUUUCUUCUUUGGAUUUUCUUUCUUUCACACUAUUCACAUCACUGCUUUGCAUGCACUUUUUUCUCACAUACCUUCCCCAUACAUAUCUUCAUUUUGGUUUAUUAAAUCAAAACUACAGGAACAAAUGACAUAAAAUGAACCAUGAAUUUAUCUUGGACAAGAUCUCACUGUUCUCAUAAUCUAAACAGAGUUUAAUUAACACUAGAAACAUCUACUUGAUAUAAAUAAAAUAGUCUAAAACUGGUGAUUGUAAUUUCCCCUUUUCAUUCACACAAUGAUUGCAGAAUGUCUUGUCAUUCACAUGGAAAUUUUUCUUCUAAGUACAUCUGUCUUUAGUGGAAAAAUGUCAUGGGCAGAGCACAAAUUUAUAGAGGAUGUAUAUGUUUAAGAAAUAGCAGCUAUUUCAUAUUCCAUGUCUGUCAUUUGAAUCAAGAAUUUUCCUGCUGGAUUGUUACCGUAACACAGAAGAACUGAUGCACUGCCCCUUACAUUCAAGCUACUCUUCAAGUGCAGAAAUACUGGCCUUAGAAAUUGACAAAAUUACAAACAAGUUAUUUUGACUUGAAGUAUGAAAUGCUGGAAAUUGCUGUGACAACCUAACACAACAGAGAUAUUCAGGCUGAAUCAGUGUGAGAAACACCAUCGUAGGUUAGAAAGAAAAAUGCAUGGGAUUUGUUUUCCUGUAAAGUUUUAGCAGGACUUGACAUUGUAAAGAUAUUGAGUGUCACAGGCUUUUAAAGAAAUAAAGAGUUGAUAAGCAGAGAGCAAACACUGAAAGGUCUUGUGACGUAGCUGGUGGAAAGCACCUGUAUUUUACGGUGGAUAUUUAUUUGAAUAUGAACAGUAAUCUACAUUUUUUUAUCAUCUCCUCAUCUCUCGCUGUUGCAUGUUGGAGAAUGACUAAGUCUCUGGAGAGGGAUCAGAUCUGUAAAAGUUGUCAGUUGUUAAGACAAGGUAUUCAGUGAAUAAAUGAAUUAUUGUACUGAAGUCCUUUAUUGAAUAUUCUUCCUGUGUCACUGCUUUAGUUAAGUAUCAAGAACACAGGCAUUUAACAAUAUUACUUUAAAUUCAAAAUGCAUUGAAAGUACUGAGAUUCAAUUUGCAAAUGUAACCAAGAAUAAAACAUGUGCCUUGGAUUACAUGUCACUUCUUGGGAUGUUUUGACAUAAGGCAUUUAGAAAAUAGUUUCCUGUGACAGAAAUGAUUAAAAUAAAUUUCAGUUGUCUAUGACUUCUAACAGUCCAGUUCUUGGUUAGUUUGUUCUCUGCAUCACAGCAAGCUCCAUCUGACAUGCUCACUUGCGUAUCAGUGUGGAGGACAACUGCUUAAGGCUAGAGUGCUAUUGUGUUCCUUGUGUGAAUAAUCCUGUUAGCAGCAAGGGAACACAGGCAUGGAAAAAGCAUAAAACGGUCAGAAGUGAGAAAAUAACCUGACUUCUCUUUUCUAGAGAUGACCUGUGCAGUAUUUUUAGACAGAUCUCUUGUGUGGUAGUACCAACAUCUUCAAAGACUCCUCCAUCUUUUUAUCUCCUCUCAGGGGUACCAAAAUCACACCAGGUCUUCUUUGUGUGCUCAGAUGGGCACACUUAGAAAAGUAGAUAAGCAAAUCCAUUCAAUAAUCUGUCCUCUUGAUUUCUAAAAUACUGGUACCAAGAUAGAAAAUAUCAGGAUACACAGGGGGGUACUUUUCUCUGUGUGUUUCAUGAAAACACACUUAGUCUAGAAAUUCAGUACAUAAGGACCAACAGACCAUUGAUCCCAAAGAGCAACCACGUCAUAAUGGAAAAUAUACACCAAAAAUUUACUAUUAAAUCUACUUUUAUUAAAUAUAGUUAAAUUAACUACAGCUUCUCAGUAUAGAAUUUAAGUAUUAUAUAUAGUAUUACAUUAAAAAUUUAAUCCACGUAUACAAUUCCUACAACAGAGUUAUGCUUAAAUUUGCCACUCAUAUUUGUGGGACUUACAGAAAUGCAAGAAUGGCAGUUUUGGGUUUACUAACAAAAUGUCACAAUUAAACUUAUCCAGGAGGGCAGGUAAGACUGCCUGUAACAUCAUAGUAUGUUAUGUUAUGUUAUGUUAUGUUAUGUUAUGUUAUGUUAUGUUAUGUUAUGUUAAUAGUAACAUUCUCAGAACAGCAUGUUUAGUACACUGAUCAUAUUACCUGCCCAUCCAUCUAGGCCAGGCAAAUACUAAAA
RNA transcript from Motacilla alba alba, 5306 nucleotides. RefSeq lists it as uncharacterized. Lineage: Eukaryota; Metazoa; Chordata; Aves; Passeriformes; Motacillidae. The transcript has 4 exons. The record is from RefSeq and is a predicted model, not a curated record.